AAAAAAUAAGUAAAUUAUUGGGUUUUUGUUGGUGGUAGUAUUUUUAUCCUGCCAUUAUUUAAUUAAUCAUUUAUUUAUUUAUUUAUGAUUUGAGCUCUACAAUUUACCAUGGAUUUAAAAGUAACAUGAACAUUUCCCAGUUAACUUUUUUUACUUUUAAAAAUUUAGGCCACUCCCAUUACUCAUUCGAAGGGUUCUUUCUAUUAUUUCCAGAAAUAAGUAUAUAUUAACUAUCACCUUCCUAACAUAUCCCACAUACAAGCAAUAGCCUUCUGUUGCUUAUCCUGCUUUAUCCAAAAGCUACCAUUAAUUUAUGAAUUCAUGUUCACAUAUGGAAAAAAUUCUAACCAGUUACUUAAUGUUUUACCAAUUUUAUUACAUUUCUGCAGUAGUUUUUCAUUUUAGCUUCUCUGAUACUUCCCUAAUGCAGUCAUGGAGCAUAAGAGCAAAGGUUGUCAGAGCUUUGAAAGCACAGUGGAUUAACAGACGUGUGUGACUGUAUAACUGUAUUGCAAUGAGUCAAGAAAUCUGGCAUAGAUCCCAAUAAAGAAGUACAUAUUUUCAAAAUCCAUGCAAUGUAAACCACUUAA
This 590-nucleotide long non-coding RNA is filed under the name Marmota monax (woodchuck). The record is from RNAcentral. Lineage: Eukaryota; Metazoa; Chordata; Mammalia; Rodentia; Sciuridae.